Molecule: long non-coding RNA, 422 nt
Filed under: Homo sapiens (human)
Lineage: Eukaryota; Metazoa; Chordata; Mammalia; Primates; Hominidae
Description: HSALNT0351305
Source: RNAcentral
GUUAACACUGAUACACUCGCAGUGCCAAGACCAGGCGCCAUUCCCCGGGCACUUAUACACCCCUGUCUGCUAAUGCCCGCUGCUGUUGCUGCCUGCUGGAACGGGAAGGAGAGGAUCAAGGUCACUCUUGAGUCAGUGAGGAGCCAGGGAACUUUUGUUAACGCGUGCUUGAUGGUGUAUCCAUAUUGGUUUCCUGCAAAAUUCCUUUGGAGGCUUCCUGGACGUUGCAUUCCGAAAGCAUCUUACGGAACAUGGUGUCGUCUUCACUACGUCAUGACCGCCCUGCCAGGGACUUGUGUGUCCUGCAUUGGCAAAUUCCAAGUCCCUCAUCAUGGUCUAGAAACAAAUCACCCCCGGUUCCUAUGUCUUCAUUUUCCUUUCAUGUGUUCCAGUAAGGCAUUAAAGAACAGAUAACACUGUAA